CCACAACAGUCGCCGCAGCGAUCAUGGCAACUUCUUGCAAUUACGGUCGUACCAACCGUACUGGCAAGGAUACAGGGCCUAAAUUUAUACAGGUUUCGUCAUGAGGGCUACCCAGUGAAUAAUCUGUGCAGUGUGAUACGGCUGGGUGUACAGGUUACUUCACAGCUGCCUCGACAUACUCAAGAAAUGGGUGCAGAACCUGCGUAAUGCCCACAAACUUUGACUACCACAGCACCUCCAGGAAGUAAAGGCAUAUGUGUCACAUGGGAUUUUUAAAGGCAUUCACAGUAUAUAAUACCUUGUAUGAACUGUUGUAGGUCUAAGCAGCCUCUACAGUACACUCUCAGAAAUUAAAACUUGUCAGGGAACUGUGAUAAUUGUUUCAGUUAAUAGGUAUGCACAUACACGCUAUAAGAAGAAAAUUAUUUAUUGAGAAUGCACUUCUCUGGCUACUCAUGUUGUUUACAUCUACUGUUGAUCACAUUCAUUUAUCACAUAUUAUAUUCUUAUAUAUUAUUAUUAUAUUAUCACAUAUUCGAUCACAUUAAAUUUAAAAUUUAGCAUAUAUGAGAAAAUAUCACGAGGGAAGUCGCUAUUCAUUGCUCAUUCCAACCUAAAAUUGAGAGAGUGUACCUCACCAUUGUCAUUCCUAAAAUAUAUAUUGCCAUUGUAGCAAGGUCACAAAACAAUAAAUGAAGUCUUUUGCGAA
Ornithodoros turicata is the source of this 709-nucleotide long non-coding RNA. RefSeq lists it as uncharacterized. Lineage: Eukaryota; Metazoa; Arthropoda; Arachnida; Ixodida; Argasidae. The transcript is spliced from 3 exons. The record is from RefSeq and is a predicted model, not a curated record.